CGGGCGAGAAUUGGCCUGUUUCGCUAGGGUUAGGAGGGGACGGAAACUUAGAAAGGAGAGGGUGUUGCGGCGGCGGCGGCUGCUCCUCUCGGAUUCCAGUGGCGACUCCUGGCCGCAAGGCUCCCGGGUCCUCCUCGACGCAUAUUUCAGUCAGUUCAAGUGAGUGAUUGAUUCCUUCUCUCCUCUCCCCCCUUUUGUUCUCCAGUUCUUCCUCUACUCCUCUUUUGUUCUAAAAUGUUUAAUCACGGUUAAGCUGCACUUAAGCACCCAUUGCUGUAAGUUGUGGCCUUCCGCUUCGCUUACGCUUACCGCUUUUUGAUCAUUGAAAAUUUGCUUGAUGCGACUAUUUAAAUUCAUUCGCUAUUGCAUUCACUCUUAUAGAAAUGUUCAUGAUUAUUUUACUUUGUUUUUUGUUUGUCAUACAGCUUCACACUCCCUUACUGAAUUCAAUGCCGAGUAGCGAGGUUCCUGCUUCGGAUGACCCAAUUCUUUUGGAGCGUCUUCUUCUUGAUUUGCUAGAUCCGGAGCUCAAGGGGCAUGCUCUUUUGGAGCUGCGUAAGGUAUUUUACACCAUUUGUCCUCUCAACAGCCUAUUACCUCAUCUCCUAUUUAAUUUGAAGUAUUAUUUAAAGUGCAAUUUGCUCUUAAGUCUUCAAACUUGAACUUAU
This 668-nucleotide long non-coding RNA is filed under the name Hordeum vulgare. Its description in RNAcentral is "long non-coding RNA (HVUL_LNC005390)". Lineage: Eukaryota; Viridiplantae; Streptophyta; Magnoliopsida; Poales; Poaceae. The record is from RNAcentral.